AUUGAACGCUGGCGGCAGGCCUAACACAUGCAAGUCGAGCGGUAGAGAGAAGCUUGCUUCUCUUGAGAGCGGCGGACGGGUGAGUAAUGCCUAGGAAUCUGCCUGGUAGUGGGGGAUAACGUUCGGAAACGGACGCUAAUACCGCAUACGUCCUACGGGAGAAAGCAGGGGACCUUCGGGCCUUGCGCUAUCAGAUGAGCCUAGGUCGGAUUAGCUAGUUGGUGAGGUAAUGGCUCACCAAGGCGACGAUCCGUAACUGGUCUGAGAGGAUGAUCAGUCACACUGGAACUGAGACACGGUCCAGACUCCUACGGGAGGCAG
This 321-nucleotide ribosomal RNA is filed under the name uncultured Pseudomonadota bacterium. RNAcentral describes it as "bacterial SSU rRNA". It matches the Rfam family "Bacterial small subunit ribosomal RNA", at positions 30 to 351 of the family's 1533-position model. Lineage: Bacteria; Pseudomonadati; Pseudomonadota. The record is from RNAcentral.